CCUACGGGAGGCUGCAGUGGGGGAUAUUGCACAAUGGGGGAAACCCUGAUGCAGCGACGCCGCGUGAGUGAAGAAGUAAUUCGUUAUGUAAAGCUCUAUCAGCAGGGAAGAAAAUGACGGUACCUGCGUAAGAAGCCGCGGCUAACUACGGGCAAGCAGCCGCGGUAAUACGUCGGGGGCGAGCGUUAUCCGGAGUUCCUGGGUGGAAAGGGAGCGUAGAGGGCGGUGCAAGUCUGGAGUGAAAGGCGGGGGCGCAACCCCCGGACUGCUCUGGAAACUGUACAGCUGGAGUGCAGGAGAGGUAAGUGGAAUUCGUAGUGUAGCGGUGAAAGGCUUAGAUAUUAGGAGGAACACCAGUGGCGAAGGCGGCUUACUGGACUGUAACUGACGUUGAGGCUCGAAAGCGUGGGGAGCAAACAGGAUUAGAUACCCGAGUAGUC
RNAcentral lists this ribosomal RNA (440 nucleotides) under uncultured bacterium. Its description in RNAcentral is "partial 16S ribosomal RNA". It matches the Rfam family "Bacterial small subunit ribosomal RNA", at positions 338 to 795 of the family's 1533-position model. The record is from RNAcentral.